GAGGGCAAGUCUGGUGCCAGCAGCCGCGGUAAUUCCAGCUCUCAAAAUGCAUAGAACCAUUGCUGCGGUUAAAAAGCUCGUAGUUGGAUCUGCGCCGGCGGGCAAGUCCCCUCCGUGUGGGGCGGCACUUGCUCCCGCCGGCUAGUUGACGGACGCGGCGGCGGGUUGCCGUUCGCGGUGCCCGCUCGCUGGCCGUCGUUUUACUUUGAACAAAUCAGAGUGCUCAGCACAGGCGUCUCGCCUGAAUGUUCGUGCAUGGAAUAAUAGAAGAGGAUUUCGGUCCUAUUUUAUUGGUUUUGAGGACUGAGAUAAUGGUUAACAGAGACAAACGGGGGCAUUCGUAUUGCUGCGUGAGAGGUCAAAUUCUUGGACCGCCAGCAAGACCUACAGCACCAAAAGCAUUUGCCAAGAUUGUCUUCAAUAAUCAAAAACGAAAGUCAGAGGUUCGAAGGCAAUCAAAUACCGCUCAAGUUCUGAC
RNAcentral lists this ribosomal RNA (478 nucleotides) under Filenchus sp. 1 MK-2017. RNAcentral describes it as "bacterial SSU rRNA". It matches the Rfam family "Eukaryotic small subunit ribosomal RNA", at positions 551 to 1030 of the family's 1831-position model. Lineage: Eukaryota; Metazoa; Nematoda; Chromadorea; Rhabditida; Tylenchidae. The record is from RNAcentral.